RNAcentral lists this unclassified non-coding RNA (3852 nucleotides) under Melitaea cinxia (Glanville fritillary). RNAcentral describes it as "misc RNA ENSMCXG00005012164.1". The record is from RNAcentral. Lineage: Eukaryota; Metazoa; Arthropoda; Insecta; Lepidoptera; Nymphalidae.
UACUUUUUUUUUAAUUAGAACCUUUUUGUUUAUUUUAUUGUCAGGACAGAAAAAUAAAACUUUGUUGUGAUGACAGAAUUAUUUUUACAUUAAGAUUGUAAGGAAAUUAGUUUAAAUAAAGGCUUUAAAUGUUGUUUUUCUUGUUUUAGAAAAACGCAAAUAUAGUCUUUAUUUUGGGAUUUCUAUUAAAAGGAACAGAAAAAGUAUAAUUAUUAUUAUAAAACAACAUUUUCCGCAUUUAUUACAAACAAAAAUAAAAUAAAAAAGAUGGAUAAAUUAAGAUUUGAUUUCGCUGUCAAGACAGCAGCAGAUGGAAAAUCCAAUAUCUUAUGCAUAACCUCAAUAGGUACACCUGAUGGUCGAGUUUUUGAAAUACCAGCCGAAUAACAACCUACAAGUCUACAUAAAGAAAUUACUAAUACCACAAACUUUGUAAAGGUAAAAAAAUCAUUAAAUAAAAGACAUCAAACAAGGAAAAUAUGGAUAACAUUGACAGAUCAAAUGUCAAAAAUAUAUUUAGAUGAAGAACAAAAUUUGCAGUUUAAUGAUUUUUACCUGGAAGAAAUUGUAGAAAAAAUAGAUAAGGUUGAAUCUAUACCUGGCGAUUCAAAUCAAACAUUGGAAAAAUUAUUAGAAAAAAUACUUGAAGGAAAAGAAAAAGAAUCUGAAACUCAAACCUUGGGAAAAAUUGCAAAGGAUUUUAUGAUUGAAAAAUUCACCGGAAGAAACUCAAAUGCCUGCCAAUGGAUUAAAGAUUUUAAUAAAGAAUGUGAACGUUUCCAAAUUAAUGAAGACAAGAAAAAAAUCGAAAUAUUAAAGAAUUUUUUGGAAUACUCUGGUGUUGAUUGGUACAGCUGUAUGAUAAUUAAAUAUACAGUAGAAUCAGAAUGGGACAAAUGGGAGAAAAUUUUUUGUGAGACUUUUGCAAGCAAAGGAUGGUCGCCCAUUCGAUAUGCACUUACUUUUAAAUACCAAGCAGGCUCGCUACUUGAAUAUGCUUUAAAAAAAGAAAAAUUGUUGUUAAAAGUAAGAAAAUCUAUUGAUACUGGGACGCUUAUUGAUCUUAUAGCAUUAGGUUUACCUAAUUAUGUUACUGAUAAAAUUGAUAGAGAAAUUUUACAAACAACGGAAGAUCUCUACAAUGAAAUAGGAAAAUUGGAAUAUCUAAUUGGAAAAAAUAAACAUGAAAAAAAUAUAUGUACAAAUUUGAACCCUAAACAAAAACAAAUUGAAGCAAAACAACCCUGCCAAAUUUGUGUUAAUGAAAAAAGGGGAAAACGUUACCAUCCUGAGGAAAAUUGCUGGUUCCGAGAGAAAAAUAAAAACGCAUUGGUAAAACAUGUAAAUAACUCAGAAUUAGAAAUUGAACUAAAUGAUAAAAAUCCAAAAAACUAAUAACGCCACCAUUAAUAAAAGUAAAGUUACUUUUAAAUGACACUUUAGAAGUUUCUGGAAUUUAUGAUUCAGGUUCAAAUGUGUCAUUAAUAAAUGCUAAGUUACUGAAGAUACAAAAAAAAGAAAAUACAAAUAACAUACAAAUGGUAAACUUGAAAACUAUUAAUGGUGAUAAAAAAGUAAAAGGAAUGGUAACAUUAAGAAUAAAAAUUUAUAAUAUUGAAAAAACUAUGGAUAUUUUUGUAAUAGAUAGUGAAAAUUUCCAUUAUGAUUUUUUGAUUGGUCUGGAUUGCAUUAAAAAUUUCAAAUUAAUGCAAAAUGAAGAAUUAAAAAUCACACAAUGUGAUAAUAAAAAUGAAGAAGGGUUAACUUCAAAUGAAGAGGAUAUGAAGGGCAAUAAAUACUUAAGGAGAGAUGCUCAGAAUAAAAAUGUCGAAAUUCCUGAUGUACUAGGUGACAAAAAUAGAGAAGAAAUAAAAUUGGUAAACAAAUAUGAAAUUAAUUUUAAUGAAAAUAUAAACGUGGAUAAAUUUGAAAUGAUAGUAAACCACCUAGAUUCAUUUCAACAAUCAGAAAUAAAUAGGUUAAUAGAAAAAUACAAAACGGUGUUUGCUAAGGAUAAAUAUGACGUCGGCACUGUAAGGGAUUAUGAGGCUCACAUUGACUUAAUGGUAGAUAAAUAUUGUUGUAAACGUCCAUACAGAUGUACAGCAGAAGAUAGAAAAGAAAUAGAAAGUCAAAUAUCAAAACUACUAGAAAAAAAUUUGAUUGAGGAGUCUUAUAGCCCAUUUGCUGCUCCAGUAACACUGGCAUAUAAAAAGGAAGAUGAAAAAAAAGAUUAUGUAUAGAUUUUAGAGAAUUAAACAAAAUUGUAAUCCCUCAAUCACAACCAUUUCCAUUAAUUGAUGAUUUAAUAAUGAAAACUGUUAACUGUAAAUACUUUUCCACUUUAGACGUAAAUUCUGCAUUCUGGUCAAUUCCAUUAAAAAUUCAAGAUAGAUACAAAACUGCAUUUGUGACACAAGAGGGUCAUUUCCAAUGGACGUGCCUUCCUUUUGGAUUAAAGACAGCUCCGGCUAUAUUCCAGAGAAUAUUGAGUAAUAUCAUUAGAAAAUACAAACUCUCUAGUUUUGCAGUAAAUUUUAUAGAUGACAUUUUAAUUUUUUCAAAAUGUUUUGAAGAACAUAUAAUACACUUAUCAAGAUUAUUGGAAGCGAUCCUUACUGAAGGUUUUAGACUAAAAUUUUCUAAAUGUAUCUUUGCAAAUCAUUAUGCCAAGUAUUUGGGCCAUAUAAUAGAAAACAAUUCAGUUAAGCCAUUGAAAGACUACUUAACUGCUGUGAAAAACUUCCCAGUUCCAGAAACAAGGAAGAAUAUACGUCAAUUCCUUGGAAAAGUAAAUUUUCAUCAUAAGUUUAUACCUAACAGCGCAAUCAUCCUGGAACCUUUACAUAAUUUACUACGGAAAGAUGUGAAAUUCAUAUGGUCUACAGAAUGUCAGGAAUCAUUUGAUAAAAUAAAAAUAUUGCUAUGCUCAGAACCAAUUUUGAAGAUAUUUGACCCUAAACUACCAAUAAGCAUUUACACAGAUGCAAGCAUUAAGGGAGUGGGAGCGGUGUUGAAACAAGAAGAUAAGCAAGGAGACAAUAAGCCGGUUGCUUAUUUUUCAAAAAAAUUAACUGAAGCUCAAAAGAAGAAAAAGGCUAUAUACCUAGAAUGUUUGGCAAUAAAAGAAGCUGUGAAAUAUUGGCAGCACUGGCUUAUGGGAAGAGAAUUUACAGUAUACUCAGAUCAUAAACCAUUAGAAAAUUUGAACAUCAAGUCUAGAACUGAUGAAGAACUUGGUGAUUUGUCUUACUAUCUAUCACAAUAUAAUUUUAAAAUUAAAUACAACCCAGGAAAAUCAAAUCAAGAAGCAGAUAGUUUAAGCAGAAAUCCAGUUCUAGAUUGUUAUGAGAAUGCUGAUGAUUUUUUGAAAGUAGUAAAUUUAAUAAACCUAGAAGACAUAAAACAUGAUCAAAAAACAAAUAUGCACUUACAAAAUGAAAAAGGAAAAUUUAUAUUGGAGAAUGAAAUUUAUUAUAAAAGGAGAAAAAAGGAAAAAAUAAUAAUAAUUUCAGAAGAACUUAGUAAGACUCUAAUUAAAGAUGUUCACAAUACUUACUGUCACCUUGGAACAACACAGAUGAUAAAUAAAAUAACACCAUUCUACACAGCAAAAAACCUCAUUAAAAACAUUAAACAAAUUUGCAAUGACUGUGAAAUUUGUAUAAAAAACAAAUCAAGGAAAAAGCCAAAGUAUGGCUUAUUGUCAUAUUUAGGUCCAGCAAGACGUCCAUUUGAAAUUGUAUCAAUUGAUACUAUUGGAGGUUUCGGAGGAUCACGGUCAACAAAAAAGUACCUUCAUUUACUGGUUGAUCAUUUUACUAGAUAUGCUUUUAUUUUCACGUCAAAAAC